AGCGAACGCUGGCGGCAGGCCUAACACAUGCAAGUCGAACGAACCUUUCGGGGUUAGUGGCGGACGGGUGAGUAACACGUGGGAACGUGCCUUUAGGUUCGGGAUAACUCAGGGAAACUUGUGCUAAUACCGAAUGUGCCCUUCGGGGGAAAGAUUUAUCGCCUUUAGAGCGGCCCGCGUCUGAUUAGCUAGUUGGUUGAGGUAAUGGCUCACCAAGGCGACGAUCAGUAGCUGGUCUGAGAGGAUGAUCAGCCACAUUGGGACUGAGACACGGCCCAAACUCCUACGGGAGGCAGCAGUGGGGAAUCUUGCGCAAUGGGCGAAAGCCUGACGCAGCCAUGCCGCGUGAAUGAUGAAGGUCUUAGGAUUGUAAAAUUCUUUCACCGGGGACGAUAAUGACGGUACCCGGAGAAGAAGCCCCGGCUAACUUCGUG
RNAcentral lists this ribosomal RNA (434 nucleotides) under uncultured bacterium. Its description in RNAcentral is "partial 16S ribosomal RNA". It matches the Rfam family "Bacterial small subunit ribosomal RNA", at positions 29 to 507 of the family's 1533-position model. The record is from RNAcentral.